RNAcentral lists this unclassified non-coding RNA (365 nucleotides) under Hevea brasiliensis (rubber tree). The record is from RNAcentral. Lineage: Eukaryota; Viridiplantae; Streptophyta; Magnoliopsida; Malpighiales; Euphorbiaceae.
AAAAUCAAAGCCACCCAACAGCGAGCCCUGGCUGUCGUAACCCCGCGCAUUAUUGCGAGAUCUUUGUCCUGCGAUGGCGAGGUGGAGAACGCGAUUCGACAUCUUCGCAACGCUGAUCCACUGCUUGCCUCUUUAAUUGAUCUCCACCCUCCCCCUACUUUCGAUACUUUCCACACUCCAUUCCUUGCCUUGACUCGAAGCAUUCUCUAUCAGCAGCUUGCUUUUAAAGCCGGUACUUCAAUCUACACUCGUUUUAUCGCUCUGUGUGGCGGAGAGGUUGGUGUCCUCCCGGAGACAGUUCUUGCUUUGACACCCCAACAGCUGCGACAAAUUGGGGUGUCGGGGCGUAAAGCUGGUUAUCUUCA